Nannospalax galili (Upper Galilee mountains blind mole rat) is the source of this 160-nucleotide small nuclear RNA. Its record names the gene U1. It matches the Rfam family "U1 spliceosomal RNA". From Rfam's summary of the family: U1 is a small nuclear RNA (snRNA) component of the spliceosome (involved in pre-mRNA splicing). The record is from Ensembl. NCBI's taxonomy places the organism in Eukaryota, Metazoa, Chordata, Mammalia, Rodentia, Spalacidae.
UAACAUACCUGGCUGGGGAUUACCAUGAUCAAGAAGGUAGUUUUACUUGGUGAGGCUCAUCCAUUGCACUCUGGAUAUGCUGACCUUUGAGAGUUUCCCAAAUGUGGGAAACUUUACUACAUAAUUUGUGGUAACAGGGACUGCAUUUGUGCUCUCCCCU